GAUGAACGCUGGCGGCGUGCCUAAUACAUGCAAGUCGAGCGAACGGACGAGAAGCUUGCUUCUCUGAUGUUAGCGGCGGACGGGUGAGUAACACGUGGAUAACCUACCUAUAAGACUGGGAUAACUUCGGGAAACCGGAGCUAAUACCGGAUAAUAUUUUGAACCGCAUGGUUCAAAAGUGAGAGACGGUCUUGCUGUCACUUAUAGAUGGAUCCGCGCUGCAUUAGCUAGUUGGUAAGGUAACGGCUUACCAAGGCAACGAUGCAUAGCCGACCUGAGAGGGGGAUCGGCCACACUGGAACUGAGACACGGUCCAGACUCCUACGGGAGGCAGCAGUAGGGAAUCUUCCGCAAUGGGCGAAAGCCUGACGGGCAACGCCGCGUGAGUGAUGAAGGUCUUCGGAUCGUAAAACUCUGUUAUUAGGGAAGAACAUAUGUGUAAGUAACUGUGCACAUCUUGACGGUACCUAAUCAGAAAGCCACGGCUAACUACGUG
RNAcentral lists this ribosomal RNA (496 nucleotides) under uncultured bacterium. Its description in RNAcentral is "partial 16S ribosomal RNA". It matches the Rfam family "Bacterial small subunit ribosomal RNA", at positions 28 to 507 of the family's 1533-position model. The record is from RNAcentral.